This 497-nucleotide ribosomal RNA is filed under the name uncultured bacterium. RNAcentral's name for it is "partial 16S ribosomal RNA". It matches the Rfam family "Bacterial small subunit ribosomal RNA", at positions 28 to 507 of the family's 1533-position model. The record is from RNAcentral.
GAUGAACGCUGGCGGCGUGCCUAAUACAUGCAAGUCGAGCGAACAGACGAGGAGCUUGCUCCCCUGACGUUAGCGGCGGACGGGUGAGUAACACGUGGAUAACCUACCUAUAAGACUGGGAUCACUUCGGGAAACCGGAGCUACUACCGGAUACUAUAUUGAACCGCAUGGUUCAAUAGUGAAAGACGGCUUUGCUGUCACUUAUAGAUGGAACCGCGCCGCAUUAGCUAGUUGGUAAGGUAACGGCUUACCAAGGCAACGAUGCGUAGCCGACCUGAGAGGGUGAGCGGCCACACGGGAACUGAGACACGGUCCAGACUCCUACGGGAGGCAGCAGUAGGGAAUCUUCCGCAAUGGGCGAAAGCUUGACGGAGCAACGCCGCGUGAGUGAUGAAGGUCUUCGGAUCGUAAAACUCUGUUAUUAGGGAAGAACAAAUGUGUAAGUAACUAUGCACGUCUUGACGGUACCUAAUCAGAAAGCCACGGCUAACUACGUG